Molecule: ribosomal RNA, 450 nt
Filed under: uncultured bacterium
Lineage: Bacteria
Description: partial 16S ribosomal RNA
Rfam family: Bacterial small subunit ribosomal RNA
Source: RNAcentral
GUGGGGAAUUUUGGACAAUGGGCGAAAGCCUGAUCCAGCCAUGCCGCGUGCAGGAUGAAGGCCUUCGGGUUGUAAACUGCUUUUGUACGGAACGAAAAGACUCCUUCUAAUAAAGGGGGUCCAUGACGGUACCGUAAGAAUAAGCACCGGCUAACUACGUGCCAGCAGCCGCGGUAAUACGUAGGGUGCAAGCGUUAAUCGGAAUUACUGGGCGUAAAGCGUGCGCAGGCGGUUUUAUAAGACAGAUGUGAAAUCCCCGGGCUCAACCUGGGAACUGCAUUUGUGACUGUAUAGCUAGAGUACGGUAGAGGGGGAUGGAAUUCCGCGUGUAGCAGUGAAAUGCGUAGAUAUGCGGAGGAACACCGAUGGCGAAGGCAAUCACCUGGACCUGUACUGACGCUCAUGCACGAAAGCGUGGGGAGCAAACAGGAUUAGAAACCCGGGUAGUCC